GUUCCUACUUCCUAUAUGAAAAUGGGUUGCUUUAAUAGACUAUUUUUUUUCUUUGUUAAAGGACAAACCCAAUGCCAGAGGCUCCCACACAAGUGGAGACAUGAAAGGGAUAAAUGGAGGCUCAUCCUUCCCUCCGGGGGCGGCCACACCCCAGCCGCGGCCCAGAUCCGCCGCCGGAGGCCCACCGCCACCAUGGCCUCUCCUUCCAAGUCGCGCCGACCACGACAGGCCACAUCCCAGCCGCCGCUGCUCGUGCUCCCCACCGUCGGCCGCUCGGGCUCACCUUCCCUGUCCACGGCACGGGCG
This 306-nucleotide unclassified non-coding RNA is filed under the name Zea mays. RNAcentral describes it as "misc RNA Zm00001eb105370". Lineage: Eukaryota; Viridiplantae; Streptophyta; Magnoliopsida; Poales; Poaceae. The record is from RNAcentral.